Long non-coding RNA from Humulus lupulus (European hop), 587 nucleotides. RefSeq lists it as uncharacterized. The transcript is spliced from 3 exons. The record is from RefSeq and is a predicted model, not a curated record. NCBI's taxonomy places the organism in Eukaryota, Viridiplantae, Streptophyta, Magnoliopsida, Rosales, Cannabaceae.
UCUACAGUAACUCCCCUUUCCCGUGUACCCAUUUCCCCUACACCCAUUUCUUCAAUCUUUCUCCAUCGGCAGUUUGACCCCUUUCCCCCUCUCCCGAUAAUGUGCGAGGACUCUCUUCAUCUUCGGUGACGACCUUCCACUCUAUUCCAUCGACAGCUUUCAUCUCGACAGUCGUUCACCCUGUUCCAGCCCUCCAUCGACAACUUUCUUUUCAACCCCACUUUCUAACUCAAGGACACGGGAUGAGUCUCACAGUUCACUGAAACCGUAAGGUGUUUUAGCUGCCCAACCGAACAAUACCCAUCAUCAAAAGAAGCUCAGAUUUGGGUCCAAUGGUGGAAAUUUAGAAGACUCUGACUUGGGGAUAAGCAAAAGGGGUCUAAAACAGCUGCAUGAGAUGUUUAAUUCAGAAGGAGCAGUGCAAGAAAACCCAAAGGUUGCAUACGGAAGGACGAAAAAAGGCCAAAGUUUAUCUGUAGCAGAAGAGAGUGGACAAAAUUUUGAUAGUGUUUCGCAGAUAUCAACUAGAAGCCAGAAGCUGAAAAACUAGGUCCUAUUUGAGUUUGAACGGGCAUCAAAAGCUGAAA